Seriola aureovittata is the source of this 1228-nucleotide long non-coding RNA. RefSeq lists it as uncharacterized. The record is from RefSeq and is a predicted model, not a curated record. The transcript has 3 exons. NCBI's taxonomy places the organism in Eukaryota, Metazoa, Chordata, Actinopteri, Carangiformes, Carangidae.
CGGUUCAAAUUAGGCUCAAAAUCAUUUUGAGCUUAUAAAGUAAUGUUUACAAAUAAUACAAACUUUGUAAACCUGGAAAAUAAAUCUGCAUGAAAAAUUCAAGUUUGCAAUAUGUCAAACAAUUGCACUUGAGGCAAAGACGUGUGUAUUUGUUCAGACAGUGUGAAUCAAAACUGAACAAAUGAUCGUUGGUGAGGUUCAACAAAGACUCAGGGGAAGUAGAAAAGCUUUUGUGGACGUCUGUGUUCAGAGAUCAAGAGCAGAAAACUAAAACUCAGUGAGCAACAUUCCCAGUGUGAGACACUGACAAGUAUCACUUUACAUCCUCGUCACUUCAGUGUCACUGUGGGAACUUUUGACCAGAGUUUCACAGUUUUCUUCUGUAUCGCAACACAGAUGUUGACAAACCCAUUUCCCCUUUUUACAGAGUCUUUGUUCGACCUCACUGAUCGUUUGUGGAGUUUUGAUUCAGACUUUCAACAAACACAAAUCUCUUUGACAAAAGCGCAACUGUUUCACAUACGCAAACUUGAAUUUCUCAAGCAGAUUUAUCUCACAGGUUUACAAAGGUUGAUUUACAAACUACAGACAUUGGAAUUAUUUGUCAACAUCACUUUACAAGCUCACAAUCAUUUCAACCCUAAUUUGAGCCAAGGUACAUGUAGUUACAGUAACAACAGUUUUGUUUCCUUAACAAGGUACCUUUACCUUAAAUCCUCAAAGUAACAUCUUAAUUUAGACGUGCAUCACUGCGUAGAUUAAUUUAGUUAAGGAAUUAAAAUCUUUCCCUGAAUUCCAACAGGGACGUUUGUUUUCACCGGCAACACGAGCUCUUCACCGACUCUGAUCUGAAGGCCAGUCUGUCUCGUCCCCUCACCUACAAGCCUCAUAAAGGUAAACUGAAGCCCUUUGGAGACGCAAACGAAAACACAGCAACAACAGGAAACAAGUCUCUGAUCUCCAACUCGCAUCAGAAAAAUUACAAACAGCACCAAGUCCAAACGAGGGAGCACAGGAGAACGAGACACAUGGAAGACAGGAAGCAGAAGAAGGAGAAUGUGCUCGGGGCGAGAAGAGGCCUCGUCAUGAUGUAGUGAUAUUACGCUUGUUUGUAGAUGUUUGUACAGCUUGUUGUUUUUUGUAAAUAUUUCGUUGUCUGCAGCUCAUUUCUCUGCAUAGAGAAGUCAUGUCCUGUUCUGCUCAAUAUUUAAUUUUAUUAAAGAUUUUA